Peromyscus maniculatus bairdii (prairie deer mouse) is the source of this 609-nucleotide non-coding RNA. NCBI's taxonomy places the organism in Eukaryota, Metazoa, Chordata, Mammalia, Rodentia, Cricetidae. The record is from RefSeq and is a predicted model, not a curated record.
CACAGCACAGCGGGAAGCUCUGCUCUGGGCCUCAGAGUGCUGCCAGACAGCAUUCUUAAAUUUGGGGUUGGUAGAAGAUGGGGUCUGCGCGUUCAUUCCAGAAGAAUUUCCGAGAGAGUCAAAAGGAUGUCAGGUCGCACACAGAGACUUCUCCUGGGCUUGAGAACUAGAGGUGGAAAUGAGUCUACGGAGAUGUGGCCUCCUCGUCUAGUCCUGCAGCAAACAGGAAGUAUUGAUUACCCUGUUACUGCUCUUGUUUCUGCGAGGCCACAUGGAAAGCAGAGGCACCGACUUUCAGCUGUAUUUGUUAAUAGACUGUGGCAGAAUUUAUGUCCAACGAAUCACCGGUGAGAGCCCAGGAGCGGCGAGAUCACCUCUGUCGAUUCACUCCUUCUCACCGCUGUAAAAAGUCUCGUGCCAGCGAAUGACCGGAGGGUUUUAAAGCACUCGUUAUCCAUAAGUCAUUGCACAGAGUGUCCCUAAAUGGGAUUAGACCAUCGUCCCAGCCUGCUGGCAAUGACUGCCUCUGCUCUGCCUACCUCGAUGCAAAUUCAAGCUCAUUUCCAUGGCUGAGGAGAGGUGGGUUUUCUUUGAGUUGCUUCCCGAGUU